Molecule: transfer RNA, 68 nt
Filed under: Ictidomys tridecemlineatus (thirteen-lined ground squirrel)
Lineage: Eukaryota; Metazoa; Chordata; Mammalia; Rodentia; Sciuridae
Description: Spermophilus tridecemlineatus (thirteen-lined ground squirrel) tRNA
Rfam family: tRNA
About the family: Transfer RNA (tRNA) molecules are approximately 80 nucleotides in length. Their secondary structure includes four short double-helical elements and three loops (D, anti-codon, and T loops).
Source: Rfam by way of RNAcentral
GGGGCUGUAGCUCAGUGGUAGAGCACUUGCUUUCCCAUGUGAGACACUGGGUUCCAUCCUCAGCCCCA